RNAcentral lists this ribosomal RNA (380 nucleotides) under uncultured eukaryote. RNAcentral's name for it is "partial 18S ribosomal RNA". It matches the Rfam family "Eukaryotic small subunit ribosomal RNA", at positions 592 to 976 of the family's 1831-position model. The record is from RNAcentral.
CAAUAGCGUAUAUUUAAGUUGUUGCAUUUAAAAAGCUCGUAGUUGGAUUUCUGUUGAGGUCGGCCGGUCCCUACUUCGUAGGCGUAUCUGGUUCAGCCUUGGCAUCCUCCUAGGGAACGGCACUGCUCUUAACUGAGUGGUCCGGUAUCUAGGACUUUUACUUUGAGGAAAUUAGAGUGUUUACGGCAGGCAAUCGCCUUGAAUAUGUUAGCAUGGAAUAAUAAUAUAGGACCUUGGUUCUAUUUUGUUGGUUUCUAGGACUAAGGUAAUGAUUAAUAGGGAUAUUUGGGGGCAUUCGUAUUAACCGGUCAGAGGUGGAAUUCUUGGAUUCGGUUACGACGAACUACUGCGAAAGCAUUUGCCAAGGAUGUUUNCAUUGA